UUAUUUUGAAGAUUAUGGGGUGCUGUGAUCUCCCACUGGAAACAGAAGCUAGUCUUUGAAAUUUGAGAGGCUUAGCUAACAUCUACAGAGCCCACCAAACUAUGUAGCUUUACAAGUACUACCACGUUUUGCAAUGUUUUCUAUUAACCUCAUUUUGUUUCUGUUGUGCUGAAGUAUUUUAAAUGUCUCUUGUGCUUCUGCUGCAAAGUAAAACCUUGUGUCAGCAUAGUGCUGAGGUCUGAUUCUGGCUGUGUGACCAAGGAGCCUCAGGCAGACUGGGAAAGUGUCCUUCAACCCUGAUGGGAAAGCAGAAGGUAACCAGCUCUCUGACCACUCCUAUUGCUUCAUUGAGUAUAUGCUACAGGUAUGUGCUGUCUGUAGUGGCACUCAUGCAUGAUAAUUUAGAGUUAUUAGGUCACCAGUUGUAAAGCAAAAAAUUAAGUUUAGUAGAGAUACAAUUAGGAGACUUUUAAUUUCCUUAUCACGCUAUCAUGGAAGUAAAUAGAAUCAGUUUGUGGUAAAACCAUCAAAGAAGUUAAUUUACCUACAUUUUGCCUGUUACAGAGAAUGUGUAAUCAGAGCAGCUAUAGCCUUGAUGUCUAAAUACUGGCCAGGAAAAACUCAUAAGACAACAAACAGGGCACAACACAGAAAUUAAUGGUCCUUCUGUAAAACAGUCCAAGCAAUGUUAUGUUUCUCCUCGUCUUGCCGGGCUCACAAAUCCUCAAAGAAAUGCACUGAAGACAAAUUUCUUCACCAACUGCAUGAGUCAAAGGGUGGAUGGAUGCGUCUCUGAAAGGCUGACAGCAAGAGGACGUGCCUUCUAAAACACAACAAUAAUUAUGACAAUUAUAUGUCAGGGCUAAUUUACAAAAUGAUGCUUAAAUAUGGCGAAGUUUUAUUGCAGAGGAGGGAUGAAGAGUUAGCAGUAGUUACACUAUUUUCUUAACAAAAAAAGAGUCUGUGUUUGUAAGUCCAUCAGUGUCACAGGUGAUAAGAAAUCUAACAAUAGAUGCCCAAAGUAAUAGGGUGUACUUUACAAUAAUGUUUUGUUACUGCAGAACCAGAAAAUAAUCUAUGAUUUGAGACUCACUACAAGUAAGAGCUGUCAUGUCAUAGGCUUUAACCUUUGUAACUGAUUUUAGUCAUCUGUGACCCAAUUAUGAAAACUCUAGACUUUUGCAAUGCACUUGGAAAUAGUAGGCUAGGCAUGAGAAUGCUGCUAUAAGCUGAUUGUAUUUUCUCCUAUCUUGUGACCCCUAACCUACUUAAAAUAACUAUCAGAUGACCUUUUCUGUUUUGUUUCGUCAGCAAAGAAGACGGGAUAUUUUAAUGAGCCUUUAAUAAGCAGCUUCGUGCCCCAGAUGGGAUUCAGGAGGGUGGUUCAAAAUGGUAUUCAAGGUGGGAAUGUAUUUCAUCCAACUGCAGGUACAGAAAUUGCCUCAGCCUAAGUCCAACACAGUCACCAAGGCUCCCUCUGUAGGAAAAGGAGCAGAAUCCCAAUGGCCUUACAUUUGCGAACGAGAUCAGCUGUCCCCUAGCACUUUCUGUUUUCCCCUGCUUAUUAGAGAGCACAACUGACUAGAUUAUGUGUAAUCAACUUCCAUCAAGAUAAUAAGGCAAAUUAAUUCCACGAGGUAUGUCUAAGAAUAAAAGCAAACUGAGAUAUAAUUGUGUGCCAUCUCUGCAUGGAGUAUUGAGCAACAUUGCUAAAAUGGCCUGCCAAAAUGCCUGACUGAUGAAAAGUAGUUUAAAACUGAACCAAAUCAAAAUGAAAGCAGAACUGAGGAGAAGCCAAAAACUUGAAGCAGGUGUAGUUCAGAGUUGGCCCACUCUUGGAUACCCCAAAGAAAGGUAGCUUAUUCAUGCACUUUUCAUCUGUCUUAUAAAGGGAGGGCCUAACUUGUUAUUUUUGUUUUUAUCGGUAGAGAUAACAGGCUUCAUGUACUUGCAGUGGUCUUCAGGGACCAAGAUACAUUUCCCUGUCAUGCCCAUGCAGUUGUGGCCCCUGGGCUAGGACACGUGCCAAGCUUCCUACCGCUCUCUCGCCAAACGUCAGGAGUGUGAGGUGGUGUCCUCAUGCUGAGGAUCUCUGUGUCUCCACAUUUUGGACCACCACACCCCCUGGGCUUUCACUGAUGUCUUCUCAAGGGGAUUAUCAAUACAACACAAUACGCCUCCAGCUACGGAAUGGCCUAAUGGAGAAUAGGGGGAAAUAGUUAAGAUUACAUCAUGGCUCCGAGCUAUCUGAACCUCACAAAUCUGGAAAGCAAAUGUUGAACUCAGGAAAACCUUCAUGUCGCCCAUUGUUAAGUGAAAGCCUGGGAGAAAAAUGAACAAAUACAAUGCAUUUUUUACUAAAUACUGUUGAUCUGCUCAGAAUAAACAUUCUAAAAAUGCUCUCAUGGAAGAAUAGUGGAUAUAAUUGAUGCAUUUUUGUUUGGACACAUUCACGAGCAUGAGGAACUAUCCGUUUCCUGAUGAUUUCCUCUCUUGCCAGUACCUAUUAAAUCUUUUUUUAAGGAGCUGUUUGCCUUGUUGCCAUCUGAUCUGUUCAUUGAGGAAAGGAGAUUUAGUUUUUGUGUUUGCAGGGCAUGUGAGAAGGCUUAUAUCAAUGAAUCACUAAGAAGGAAAUAUCCUAAUUUACCUGCAAAAGUGUAAUUGAAUGAAAUAUUUUUGGGGGCUUUUAGCAACAUAAUGCUGAAAGCAUUACAGGUUUUGGACUCAAACAAGGGAGAUGAAACUUUGUUCAGAGUUAUAUAAUAUACCACGGUGGCCAGAAUAUAUCACUCUUUAUAUAUCACUCUUUGUCUUCAUAAUAAAUUAAAAUAUGACACUAUUAAUUUCACAGGUAAAGACAGAUAAGAUGACUUUUAGGUUCUGAUGAUCUUGCACAAUCCAUCAGAAGACAUCUUUUCACUUCUAUAUUUAAUGUACAGAUUUUAUUUUUUUUUCUCACACAGAAAAGGUUCAUGGAAGAUUUCAAUAGUAAGUGAGGGUCCUGAUAUUUUCCUCAGCCAGGGAUUUUUUCAGAUCCUUUGCAAGUGCUCUCAGCUAGAAGAAUCUGUCUGCAUGCUUCCUGAUGGGCAUAGCAUAGCAGGCUGUAUCUUUUGUGAUAUUCCUGCUGACCGUUGCUCUUACUUUUCAGUGGUGACGCCUGUGAGUCAGUGCUUCAGGCAUGUUACACUCAGUUCUCCCACUGUUAUCAAGAUAAAAAUGUGCCACAGGCAACUGUCCAUCGAGCUUACCUCGGCUAUUCACUGGUUCUUCCACUCCUGGCCUCUUGUCCUGGUUUACUACUCAUGCUCCAGCCAUGAGUUUUCUCUUUCUUUCAUGCCCUUUUGGAGAACAUGACUGUUGGUUCAGCUGUGGGUAUGGAGAAUCUGAAGUAAGCAGAUAAAAUGAGCUCCACAAGGCUCCUCUCUGUCUCUCAGGGCUGUUUUCUACAUUGUCCUAUCUCUGGGACACUUUUACCAGGUCUGAAAUUUUCUUCCUUAAUCUUCUGGUUCAUAGUUUCUCACAGAGGAGGUGGGCUCUGCAUGGGCCCCAUGACUACCCUUUGUUAAAGCUUGAUAUAGGACUUUUCUGUAUCUCUGUCCAAUGUCUUUUGGGCUUUUAUUUAGUUUCUUUCUUAAAAGAGGGUCCUACCCUCCAUCCCCUAGGUCUGCUUGUGGUCUCUGUUCCUAUCCAUACUGCUGCUCUACAACCCAGAUAUAUAUUUGUCCUGUAAUGGCUAAUCAUUUUUUUCAGUGAACUGGAAUUCAAUAAAGUCCAGCAUCUGAGCUGCAGAAAUUCUCUUACAAUAACAUUUUAACUUCUUCCAGGAAUCACUCAGUGUCCAUGAAAUGUAACUGUCUCAGAAUGAUAGAAUGGUUUGGGUUGGAAGGGACCUUAAAGCCCUCCUAAUUCCAACCCCCUGCCAUGUGGUCUUCCGCCAGACCACAUUGCUCAAAACCCCAUCCAGCCUGGCCUUGAACACCUCCAGGGGUGCAGCAUCCACAGCUUCUCUGGGCAACAUAUGCCAGUACCUCACUACCCUCAGAGUAAAGAAUUUCCUUCUUCUAUCUAAUCUAAACCUAGUCUCUUUUAGUAUAAGACCAUUACCACUUGUCCUAUCACUAAUAGAAUCACAGAAUUGAAUUGUAGUGCAUUGAUGACAUGUUCAUCUGUUGAUCCUGUCAGUUGUUUCCAAUCAGUAUCUCAAAAUUAUUUAUUUUAAAAUAAUUUGAAAGACUGCAUUGUGAAAAAAUAUCUUUUUUUUUCUCUUUUAAGAGUUCAUCCUUUUUCAGGUCAAUUUGCUUCAUUAUCUUUCUCUUCUUUUCAUGACUUAUUAUCAAGGCCUAUCAUCCAUCAAAUGUAACUGAGCUGUCUCCAACAAUAAAUUUCUCUUGUUCCACAUUUCAGCGUGAGGUUAUAGUUCUGGAAUGUUUCUGCUAAAUCAUUUCUCACGCUAAAUAUUUUCUCUUCCAGCUAUAAAAUUGCAUGAUCCUGAUUAUUCUCACCAAGAUAGCAACUUAGAGGCGUGGAUGCCUUCUCCUUACUGAUUUUUAAGGACAGAUCAUAGAAGGUCUCACAGGACAGGUUUAAACAAGUGUUCAUUACUCUUCCCACUUGUCUAUAACAUCACUGUGCAAGCUGAUAGUGAAAGUUAUUUCUGUAAAUCUCAAAAGAGUAGGCCAUUCCCAGAAUAAACGGUGACACCACCGUCACUCUGACUCAAGAUUAUCUCUUGCAUAAAAUGUACAGUACAACCUUUGCUUUGCUUUGUUCCUUCAUUUAGACUGGUGAGUGCUAUGAAGCCACUCCAGAAAAACUCCAGGUGGUGUACGUGUCUGUGGUGGAAGACCUUAUUCUGAAGCAGUCUUUCCAGUACUCGAAAGAACAGAGGUCAGUGACGUUAGAUUGGAUCAACAGCUACACAGCUAAACUCUAAAGAGGACUUCUAAAUGCAAAACUUGUGUUUCUUGUGAUUAACUAUUUGGUGUUAUAAGUUUCCUCAGUGAAAGUAAACUCUGCAGCAACACUGAUCAGGAAGGAACUUGCUAGCAGGAGCUCAGUAACUCUGUAGUAGCAAACUGCAUUUGCAGAAGGGCUGAAUUGGAACACCACCAAGCAGAAUAAAAACAGAAAGGUGUGUUUUAAAAUUAAUGCAGUAAAAGUUAAGCUUUCUGAUUUAAAAAGAAACUCCUUAACAUUUUGAAAACUAUGGAUCUGGCUAAUUUCAAAGCCAACAAGAUAGUCGAUAAAUUCAAUAAAUACAUUUUUUUUAAAAAAAGCUCCUAAAUAAAAUUAAGACACAUAAAUACAACUUAUCAUUUACCAUUGAGACAAUACUUCAAUACUUUAUUGGUUUAGACAUGGAGAAGCAUUCUCAUGCUCAGUUUCCAAACUGCAGUGGACUCCCUUUGGACCAAAGGACAAUUGCAAAGAUCCAACUUACAAUCGUAGAUCAGUGCAGACUUUGACCUGGCUUUUCCCAAAACAAAUACACAUUUCUGUAUCUGUUGCACACAUGAAUUUAUCUCCUGGGUGAGGUUUGUGAAUAAAUAUCUCCCACACAGCAUAUGCUGGUCAACUCUUAAGUCACAAAACGUAGGCUCCUGCAACUUGUUACCCAAAGCAAUUUAUGUGCCCAGCUCCCACUAACAGCAAUUUUAGUGCAGUUAAAACUAGUUUUUCAUGAUGUGUUGUUUUAGAAAGUUAAGAAUUUGAGCGCACAACUCUAAUUUUCAGAGACUUUUUUUUUUUUUUUCCAUGAGUUUUCUCUUGUUGCACUGAGAGUGGUAUUGCAAAAUGGAGCUGGCCAUUAUAAAUAAAAAAAAGGUAAUGCUUUCUGCUUUUCCCGGUCCCACUAAUUUAAAUGUUUAUGACAAGCUUCUCCAUUUUGAAGGCAUAUGUAAAACUUGCAACCUGGCCAAGACUUUCUGUAAUAUGUGCAUUUAUAAUAUGGAGGUUCAGUUAACUUAAAUAUAAUGUUCAUUGUCACCCUUCUGGCUCCUAUUCACUGCUCUACAAAGAACAUCUUGCACUGUGAAAUACCCAUGUAACUACAAUGUUUGUAUUCACAUGGAGCAAAUUAUAAGCACAUGAAAGUAAAGUACAUUCCUCAUGAUAUUUACACUGCUUGAAGAUUAAGAAUACAAUAGAUUAAAAGAAUCCAGGAAUAAAGUGGUCUCUGGGGAGCAUUCACAAUAUUUGUGUAAGGUUAUGCUCAUUUAAUAUAUGAAGCACAAAUAAAGCACUAAUAGAAAUGUUUGAAAUAUUUUCCAAACAUUCUCAUUAUAUGGCCUUACCCCCCUUCAGCUUCUGUAUUGCAUCAGCAGUGGAAAAAUAUCAGGAAAAAUAUCAGAGUCUAGCUUGUGCACAAUUAAAAAGUUCAACAUAUGUAGUUAUACAAAAAUUGGAAAAACAUUCCCAGAAAGUUACUGUUUCCAAAUAAUGGAUUCCCUCAAACAAACACUUAGUCCUUUCUUGCAGUAUCAAUGCAGCCUGACUUCCUGUAGAUGAUCUGAAAGCUCCAGUAAUUACCGGGGGCUUGAUUAAAUGCAUUCAGUGUAAUUAAGUUGAUUGGCACUGUCUGGAAAGCUUGACCAUUUCUUGCUUGCAUCAAGAAGUGACAGACAUUUUGUGUCUUGAAACAAAAGCUGUUAUCAAAAGAUGAAUCAUUUUGAAAUGAAAGAUUAAAUUAUAUUUUUUAGAUCUUAAAAUAUAUUGGCCAAAUGGCAGGUAUUACAAUCUCAUCUAGCAGAUGCCAGCUGAAAAGCAAUAAAAACAGCAGUAACGCAAAUUCACAGGUGACACACUUCAGAAGAGUUCCUAACUUAUCAUCCUUUUGCUGCAAUACCAUCUUGAAAACAGCCUUCACUCUUUCGGUAUUAAAUAUUUUUUCAGAAAUAAAGAAAUGAACACAGAUGUCUGCUACCUUUUUAUGGAUCACAAGACAUCUACCUCUAACUGUAUGCUAUAUUCUUACUCAAUUUAAAUAGUAAUUUAAGUUCAAGGCUUAUUUGGUAAAUGCUAGCAGUCAUCCCGUUAGUGGUGAGAAGCCAAAAGCCCAGGUAUGAAGCAAAUCUGUGCCCGGUGGGAUUUGACUGUCAAGCAUGCACUGCCAUACUUACCACUUUCUAUACAGUUAGAUUACUUGUAAUGAGACCAAACAAACAAAGAAAAAACAAACAAACAAACAAAAAAACUUCAAGAAUAUUUUAUAAUGUGUGAAUGGAACCUAUAAAUUGAUUUCCACAAUACUGGAAAAUUAAAUUUAUCUGAAGUGACUGUGCAGAAAAGACUUGCCUUGAAAGAGUAUUCCAUUUUUUUUCAUGUCUACCUGACCCUGCGCUAAUGUUUGGAGAGCAUGUAUUCUUCUGCGUCAUUUUUAAAACCUUUUAAAUGAUUUUAAGUCAUACUCAUCCAGAACUCAGUCAACACCAGGCAACCUAAGAUCCAAAUGUUGUUAUUCCCUGUGAAAGUUCAGAAAUCAAUGUGUUCGUCUGACUGCAAGACUGGAGCACACUACUCUCCUUAGGCACAGUGUCACGGCCUUCAUCCUGACCCAGAAGUUUCUUUGAUUAUUGGACUGUUAACUGAUGCCUGUUAACAUCAGUGGGCAUAAAAAAAAACACAUCAGCAACAACAAUAAAAAAAAAAAAUACACCACAGCUCUGUCUGCACAUCAGUGUCCUUUGAAUCAGAAUCUGCCUUUUGAACACCUUUGCACAAAUUCAGUUUUUGGUCAGCAGUGCUUUGAAGAUUUCUGCAUCAAACUCCAUUUUGUGGCGUAGACACCCCUGUGUUAGCUAAUACAAAGAAAGCUUGUGAAAUAGCCAUCGUGAAAUGAAGACAGUGUUAUAAUCAGACGUUGUUAGCAAUAAAGACGUAAUUGGACUCUAGUCCCAUGCAUGGUGCCAAACCCAAAUAACCUCUUAUGCAUGCAUUUUUAUUGUGCGGCGUAUUUAAUUGAAUCCUUCGAAGCAAUCAGGGAUUCACAUCCAGGUGAUUAUAAUCCCUAUCUCCUUCAGAGUUAAAUUCCCAAGCGCUGUGGCCAGCAGGAAACUUCAAAGCAGAGCUGCUGAAGGAGGAGCAGGUCCGCAGCGCCCCGGCGUGCCAGGGAGCACGGUGUGUGCACCUCAGCAAAUGUUUCACUCCAGCUGACCAGCUGAUAAUCCUGCAGGCUUUGCCUGCUCCUGGCAGGUGUUACUUUUGGGAGUGCCUGUGGCUGCAAGCAAGCAGGACGGAGGUGUGCAGCAGUGUGGUGCUGCUUGCAACACACAACGCACAGAUGUUUCUUUUUGCUGACAACGAAAAAAAAAAAAAAAAAAAAAAAAGAGAAAAAAGGGCCUAUGUUUUUUACAGAAGUGGUGUGGGCUGGAAUCCCACCUUCUUGACAAUCUGCAUUUAUGUAAUAGUUAAUAUCUGUGCUUGUAAAUGAACCAGCAGCAGACCAAGUCCUCUUGUAUAGCCUCUGUUGUCCAGCAGUCAUGGUGGUGUCCGAGGCACUUUUCACGUUAUAGUUCACGUGGGUAGCAUGGGCCAGGAGCAGAUUGCAGGCAGUCUCCUAGUUUGGGGAAAUAGGGGUGCAUACGUAAAUGAGCAAUUAGUGGACUGAUAUCUAGAUCAGCUUUUAUUGCAAAAGAAAUUACGUCCAGACCACUAACAGUCAUGACUGUUUAAAAAGCCAGCUAAGCAAUUAAGCAUUAAACUGCUAUGAUGGGUAAAUAAAAAUAUUGUUUUUAAUGACCGUAAUAUAUGUCAGGCUGGUUUGAUUUAUGCGCUAGGAGUAAAGACAUUGCCCUGUUUUGUUAGACCAGUAGACAACCUUUUCUCAUAUGUGGUUCCAGAGUAGUUGGGAGGGUCUGCAUGUUCCCAAAAGGUCUUCUGAUUUUUAUGAGUCUAUGAACUCUACACUGCAGGUGCUUCUUUGGGAGAUGCUAAGGGCACAGCAAUAUGUCUGGUGGGAAAUGAAACUUCUGCAAAACAAUUGUGUUUUUUUUGCUGUCAUGCAAUUUUUUUUUAGAAAGCAAGAGCAUAGGCACUUGCAUUUAAAACCUAAACAAAGCAAUU
Non-coding RNA from Anas platyrhynchos (mallard), 9060 nucleotides. The record is from RefSeq and is a predicted model, not a curated record. NCBI's taxonomy places the organism in Eukaryota, Metazoa, Chordata, Aves, Anseriformes, Anatidae.